GGUGCACGUGAUGAUUAUUAUAGCGAUCAAAGCAUGAUUAUACCAUGAUAUGACCUAUUGAGCUGAUGCACC
This is a small nucleolar RNA of Osmerus eperlanus (European smelt), 72 nucleotides long. The record is from RefSeq and is a predicted model, not a curated record. Lineage: Eukaryota; Metazoa; Chordata; Actinopteri; Osmeriformes; Osmeridae.